This 274-nucleotide ribosomal RNA is filed under the name uncultured bacterium. RNAcentral's name for it is "partial 16S ribosomal RNA". It matches the Rfam family "Bacterial small subunit ribosomal RNA", at positions 523 to 796 of the family's 1533-position model. The record is from RNAcentral.
AUACGGAGGGUGCAAGCGUUGUUCGGAAUUACUGGGCGUAAAGCGCGUGUAGGUGGCUUGGCAAGUCGGAUGUGAAAGCCCGGGGCUCAACCCCGGAACUGCAUCCGAAACUGCCUGGCUAGAGUCCCUGAGAGGAAGGCAGAAUUCCCAGUGUAGGGGUGAAAUCCGUAGAUAUUGGGAGGAAUACCAGUGGCGAAGGCGGCCUUCUGGACGGUGACUGACACUCAGACGCGAAAGCGUGGGGAGCAAACAGCAUUAGAAACCCGGGUAGUCC